This 465-nucleotide ribosomal RNA is filed under the name Vreelandella stevensii. Its description in RNAcentral is "partial 16S ribosomal RNA". It matches the Rfam family "Bacterial small subunit ribosomal RNA", at positions 338 to 795 of the family's 1533-position model. The record is from RNAcentral. Lineage: Bacteria; Pseudomonadati; Pseudomonadota; Gammaproteobacteria; Oceanospirillales; Halomonadaceae.
CCUACGGGUGGUUGCAGUGGGGAAUAUUGGACAAUGGGGGGAACCCUGAUCCAGCCAUGCCGCGUGUGUGAAGAAGGCCCUCGGGUUGUAAAGCACUUUCAGUGAGGAAGAACGCCUGGUGGUUAAUACCCAUCAGGAAAGACAUCACUCACAGAAGAAGCACCGGCUAACUCCGUGCCAGCAGCCGCGGUAAUACGGAGGGUGCGAGCGUUAAUCGGAAUUACUGGGCGUAAAGCGCGCGUAGGUGGCUUGAUAAGCCGGUUGUGAAAGCCCCGGGCUCAACCUGGGAACGGCAUCCGGAACUGUCAAGCUAGAGUGCAGGAGAGGAAGGUAGAAUUCCCGGUGUAGCGGUGAAAUGCGUAGAGAUCGGGAGGAAUACCAGUGGCGAAGGCGGCCUUCUGGACUGACACUGACACUGAGGUGCGAAAGCGUGGGUAGCAAACAGGAUUAGAUACCCCAGUAGUC